This 496-nucleotide ribosomal RNA is filed under the name uncultured bacterium. RNAcentral describes it as "partial 16S ribosomal RNA". It matches the Rfam family "Bacterial small subunit ribosomal RNA", at positions 29 to 507 of the family's 1533-position model. The record is from RNAcentral.
AUGAACGCUGGCGGCGUGCCUAAUCCAUGCAAGUCGAGCGAACGGACGAGGAGCUUGCUCCUCUGACGUUAGCGGCGGACGGGUGAGUAACACGUGGAUAACCUACCUAUAAGACUGGGAUAACUUCGGGAAACCGGAGCUAAUACCGGAUAAUAUAUUGAACCGCAUGGUUCAAUAGUGAAAGACGGUUUUGCUGUCACUUAUAGAUGGAUCCGCGCCGCAUUAGCUAGUUGGUAAGGUAACGGCUUACCAAGGCAACGAUGCGUAGCCGACCUGAGAGGGUGAUCGGCCACACUGGAACUGAGACACGGUCCAGACUCCUACGGGAGGCAGCAGUAGGGAAUCUUCCGCAAUGGGCGAAAGCCUGACGGAGCAACGCCGCGUGAGUGAUGAAGGUCUUCGGAUCGUAAAACUCUGUUAUUAGGGAAGAACAAAUGUGUAAGUAACUAUGCACGUCUUGACGGUACCUAAUCAGAAAGCCACGGCUAACUACGUG